Molecule: long non-coding RNA, 692 nt
Organism: Fukomys damarensis (Damara mole-rat)
Lineage: Eukaryota; Metazoa; Chordata; Mammalia; Rodentia; Bathyergidae
Exons: 3
Source: RefSeq, a predicted model, not a curated record
UAAAAAGGAACAAAUGUUAUCUUUCAAAAAGCCAGUGGGCCAUGGCUGACUUCCCACAUUCUUCCAGGAUUUACUUCUAUCCACAUCAAAAUUAAGCACAGAUUCAGAUUUGCCGGUGAUGGUCUUUUUAGUGUCCUUUGGCUAUCAAAUCAUGGCACUGCUGAAGAAUAUACCUCAACAACCCUUACAGGAAAUGCAGAAGGAUUUUUUUGAGAAGGCUCCAAAAUGCUGGGAUUACAGACUGGUUACUAUGUGCACUAACCCGCACCAUUCUGAAUCUGCUAUUGUGAUAUGACCUGUGGACUCUGGAAGAUGGCACAGAAUUGAAAACUGAAACGGUGAGAAGAUUAGGAAGAGACCAUCACUGAUGCAUGCUAGCCAAACUGUAAGAAACAAGACAUCGACUCUAAAGGUAUCCAGGGCUUACCCUAAAUGAAGUCUGUUUAUCAUUUUAAUGCAUGUGUUUCAAUGUGCGUUAAAUUUGAUGUCAUAUUUUAAAAAUCCUAAUUCUGGUAGCCAUUCAGCUGCCUCCCCCAUGUAAAAUCAGGCCUUCAAAAGAUGCCUAAUAUUUAAUAAUAUCAUUGUUGGAAGGAAAAUGCUGUUAGUCUGUUAUGCUUGGGUUGUCCUUGAAUAAGCAUGUGUGUAUAUUGUCUUAUUUUUAUGCCAUAAUGUAUUACAACACUUUUAUCAUU